Molecule: ribosomal RNA, 487 nt
Filed under: Mrakia sp. CRUB 1707
Lineage: Eukaryota; Fungi; Basidiomycota; Tremellomycetes; Cystofilobasidiales; Mrakiaceae
Description: eukaryotic LSU rRNA
Rfam family: Eukaryotic large subunit ribosomal RNA
Source: RNAcentral
AGUCUAGAGAAUCGUUUUCCGCGUUGGCCUGUGUACAAGUCCCUUGGAACAGGGCGUCAUAGAGGGUGAGAAUCCCGUCCUUGACACAGAUUACCAAUGCUUUGUGAUGCGAUCUCGAAGAGUCGAGUUGUUUGGGAAUGCAGCUCAAAAUGGGUGGUAAAUUCCAUCUAAAGCUAAAUAUUGGCGAGAGACCGAUAGCGAACAAGUACCGUGAGGGAAAGAUGAAAAGCACUUUGGAAAGAGAGUUAAACAGUACGUGAAAUUGUUAAAAGGGAAACGAUUGAAGUCUUUCAUGCUUUCCGAGACUCAGCCGAUUCUGUCGGUGUACUUCUCGGGUGGGAGGGCAGCAUCAGUUUCGAUCUGUGGAAAAGGUUGGAGGGAACGUGGCAUCCUCGGAUGUGUUAUAGCCCUUCUUCCAAUACAUAGAGCGGGACUGAGGAACGCAGCGCGCCUUUUAUUAGGUUGACCCUCGGGUACAUACGCGCUU